UUCCGAGGAGCGCUGCAACGAACAUUCGCCAGGCUCGGAACGUAACUAACCCUAGUUAACGGCGCUCAGU
This 70-nucleotide non-coding RNA is filed under the name marine eukaryotic metagenome. RNAcentral's name for it is "S-adenosyl-L-homocysteine riboswitch". It matches the Rfam family "SAH (S-adenosyl-L-homocysteine) riboswitch aptamer", at positions 3 to 72 of the family's 78-position model. The record is from RNAcentral.